This 491-nucleotide ribosomal RNA is filed under the name uncultured bacterium. Its description in RNAcentral is "bacterial SSU rRNA". It matches the Rfam family "Bacterial small subunit ribosomal RNA", at positions 28 to 526 of the family's 1533-position model. The record is from RNAcentral.
GACGAACGCUGGCGGCGUGCUUAACACAUGCAAGUCGAACGAUGAACUGGGGAGCUUGCUCUUCGGGGAUUAGUGGCGAACGGGUGAGUAACACGUGAGCAAUCUGCCCCUGACUCUGGGAUAAGCGCUGGAAACGGCGUCUAAUACCGGAUACGAGGUUCCUCCGCAUGGAGAGGGCCUGGAAAGAAUUUCGGUUGGGGAUGAGCUCGCGGCCUAUCAGCUUGUUGGUGAGGUAAUGGCUCACCAAGGCGACGACGGGUAGCCGGCCUGAGAGGGUGACCGGCCACACUGGGACUGAGACACGGCCCAGACUCCUACGGGAGGCAGCAGUGGGGAAUAUUGCACAAUGGGCGCAAGCCUGAUGCAGCAACGCCGCGUGGGGGAUGACGGCCUUCGGGUUGUAAACCUCUUUUGGCAGGGAAGAAGCCGUGAGGUGACGGUACCUGCAGAAAAAGCACCGGCUAACUACGUGCCAGCCGCCGCAGUAAAAC